GAAAUGCGAUAAGUAAUGUGAAUUGCAGAAUUCAGUGAAUCAUCGAAUCUUUGAACGCACCUUGCGCUCCUUGGUAUUCCUUGGAGCAUGCCUGUUUGAGUAUCAUGAAAUCUUCAAAGUAAAUCUUUUGUUAACUCAAUUGGUUUCUACUUUGGUAUUGGAGGUCUUUGCAGCUUCACACCUGCUCCUCUUUGUUCAUUAGCUGGAUCUCAGUGUUAUGCUUGGUUCCACUCGGCGUGAUAAGUUAUCUAUCGCUGAGGACACUGUAAAAGGUGGCCAAGGUAAAUGCAGAGGAACCGCUUCUAAUAGUCCAUUGACUUGGACAAUACUUUUAUGAUCUGAUCUCAAAUCAGGUAGGACUACCCGCUGAACUUAAGC
Molecule: unclassified non-coding RNA, 378 nt
Filed under: plant metagenome
Description: partial contains 5.8S ribosomal RNA, internal transcribed spacer 2, and large subunit ribosomal RNA
Rfam family: 5.8S ribosomal RNA (bases 1-105)
Source: RNAcentral